CAGGCCUAACACAUGCAAGUCGAACGAUCCUUAAGUGGCUUGCCAUUUAAGGGGAGUGGCGAACGGGUGAGUAACACGUGAGUAAUCUACCCUUGAGUGCGGAAUAACUUCGCGAAAGCGGCGCUAAUACCGCAUAAUACUCUAAAGCACACGCUUUUAGAGUCAAAGCCUUCGGGCGCUUGAGGAUGAGCUUGCGCCAUAUUAGCUUGUUGGUGGGGUAAUGGCCUACCAAGGUUAUGAUGUGUAGCCGGCCUGAGAGGGUGUACGGCCACACUGGAACUGCGACACGGUCCAGACUCCUACGGGAGGCAGCAGUGGGGAAUUUUGCGCAAUGGGCGAAAGCCUGACGCAGCGACGCCGCGUGGAGGAUGACGGCCUUCGGGUUGUAAACUCCUGUCAGAGGUGAAGAAAACCCUUCGGGGUACUGACGGUAACCUCAGAGGAAGCCCCGGCUAACUACGUGCCAGCAGCCGCGGUAAU
RNAcentral lists this ribosomal RNA (480 nucleotides) under uncultured bacterium. RNAcentral describes it as "bacterial SSU rRNA". It matches the Rfam family "Bacterial small subunit ribosomal RNA", at positions 43 to 524 of the family's 1533-position model. The record is from RNAcentral.